Molecule: ribosomal RNA, 546 nt
Filed under: Triticum aestivum (bread wheat)
Lineage: Eukaryota; Viridiplantae; Streptophyta; Magnoliopsida; Poales; Poaceae
Description: partial small subunit ribosomal RNA
Source: RNAcentral
AUGCACGUAAGCUUCUUCUUGGCUGAUGUUCCAAGUAAUAAUGCGGUUUUAUUUCCGGCAAUUGGUUCCUUCAUUUGGGAAUUUAUUUUUUUCGCUUUCAGUCAAUUUUGUCAGAUUGCUGGCCAUCUUUUUCUACUCACUCAUAUGCACAGCACUGUGUUUGCUAGCAUGCCUAUCUACUUCAUGUGUUCACUUACUUUAUCAAAGAUUGUGGUUCAUCAGAUCACUUGCUAUUUGAGAAACUGCUUCUGGAAAAAAUAUGGUACCCUAGAGACAGGCUCUGCCCUCAUUGCUUGGAACACCAUUUGCAAACCUAAAGCCCAUGGUGGAUUGGGAAUUCUGGACAUCACAACUCACAACAAGGCACUGCUAAUGAAAUUCCUCCACAAAUUUUUCAACAAGGAAGAUGUCCCUUGGGUCAACAUCAUUUGGGAAGCUCAUUAUCAAGAGGCUCUUCCAAGUGACAAAAUGGUUUGGUUCGUUCUGGUGAAAAUCUCCGCUAAAGUUGCUCCCACUAUACAAAAGCCAAGCAAUCUGCAAACAUAG